RNAcentral lists this ribosomal RNA (253 nucleotides) under uncultured bacterium. Its description in RNAcentral is "partial 16S ribosomal RNA". It matches the Rfam family "Bacterial small subunit ribosomal RNA", at positions 524 to 776 of the family's 1533-position model. The record is from RNAcentral.
UACGUAGGCAGCAAGCGUUGUUCGGAAUUACUGGGCGUAAAGAGUGUGUAGGCGGUGCUCCAAGUCUGGUGUGAAAUCUCCCGGCUUAACUGGGAGGGUGCAUUAGAAACUGGAAUGCUAGAGGAUGGGAGAGGUAAGCGGAAUUCCUGGUGUAGCGGUGAAAUGCGUAGAGAUCGGAAAGAACACCAACGGCGAAAGCACUCUGCUGGGCCGACACUGACACUGAGAGACGAAAGCUAGGGGAGCGAAUGGG